UACGGAGGGUGCGAGCGUUGUCCGGAUUUAUUGGGUUUAAAGGGUGCGUAGGUGGGUUAAUAAGUCAGUGGUGAAAUACGGUUGCUCAACAAUCGAGGUGCCAUUGAUACUGUUAAUCUUGAAACAAGUGGAGGUUGCCGGAAUGGAUGGUGUAGCGGUGAAAUGCAUAGAUAUCAUCCAGAACACCGAUUGCGAAGGCAGGUGACUACGUUUUGAUUUGACACUGAGGCACGAAAGCAUGGGGGAGCAAACAGG
This 255-nucleotide ribosomal RNA is filed under the name uncultured bacterium. Its description in RNAcentral is "partial 16S ribosomal RNA". It matches the Rfam family "Bacterial small subunit ribosomal RNA", at positions 524 to 776 of the family's 1533-position model. The record is from RNAcentral.